GGGACACACAACUAUUGAGAAACUUGAAAUCAAAAAUUGUAUACCUCUUGCUAAUCGUACGCUUCUGUGUAACACGUCCAAUUUUUUUCGUGGAAUAUGUAGUUUCGCACCCCAUCUAAACUACUUGAUCUUGAACAAUGUUCUAUGGGAUAUGCGAUCGAUUAUUCUGACAUGUAAAGAAAACUUUACAGAACUUCGAGAACUUGAACUAUCUUCAUGUUUUUGUAUACGGGAGUUACAUCCAAACAUAGAUUUAUCCAUUUUCAUUUGUAAUUGCCCAAAACUAAAGCUUCUAAACUUUCAAAACACAGCAGUUGAGGACAGAUUAGUUGAAUGGUUUUGUGAAAUUGAAUCUUUAGAGGAACUGUAUUUAGAAUGCCCUAAAUAUUUAAGGAAAGAAUGGUCAAAUGAAUCAUUAAAGGAGUUACAAAAAGUGCGUUAUGAAGGACGCAUUUGUUUGAGGCAGCAUGAUACUAAGUUUCAUAUCUUUUUAUGUACAGUAGAACAUCUUCUCGCCGGAAACAGAGUUGAAG
Long non-coding RNA from Pseudomyrmex gracilis, 533 nucleotides. RefSeq lists it as uncharacterized. The transcript is spliced from 4 exons. The record is from RefSeq and is a predicted model, not a curated record. Lineage: Eukaryota; Metazoa; Arthropoda; Insecta; Hymenoptera; Formicidae.